RNAcentral lists this ribosomal RNA (400 nucleotides) under uncultured bacterium. RNAcentral describes it as "bacterial SSU rRNA". It matches the Rfam family "Bacterial small subunit ribosomal RNA", at positions 356 to 773 of the family's 1533-position model. The record is from RNAcentral.
GGGGAAUAUUGGACAAUGGGCGCAAGCCUGAUCCAGCCAUGCCGCGUGAGUGAUGAAGGCCCUAGGGUUGUAAAGCUCUUUCACCGGUGAAGAUAAUGACGGUAACCGGAGAAGAAGCCCCGGCUAACUUCGUGCCAGCAGCCGCGGUAAUACGAAGGGGGCUAGCGUUGUUCGGAAUUACUGGGCGUAAAGCGCACGUAGGCGGAUAUUUAAGUUAGGGGUGAAAUCCCAGGGCUCAACCCUGGAACUGCCUCUAAUACUGGGUAUCUCGAGUCCGAGAGAGGUGAGUGGAAUUCCGAGUGUAGAGGUGAAAUUCGUAGAUAUUCGGAGGAACACCAGUGGCGAAGGCGGCUCACUGGCUCGGUACUGACGCUGAGGUGCGAAAGCGUGGGGAGCAAAC